AGUGUCGACGUUUCAGCCCACUAGGGACUUUUUUUUCCCCAAGUCUUGAAAAAAAGUCCCUAGUGGACUGAAACGUCGACACU
Molecule: non-coding RNA, 83 nt
Organism: Pelobates cultripes (western spadefoot toad)
Lineage: Eukaryota; Metazoa; Chordata; Amphibia; Anura; Pelobatidae
Source: the annotation of a GenBank genome assembly